AUGAGGCCAGCCGACUCGCUCUUCAUAGGUGGUAUCAGUCGAUCGAAGGUCGCGGAAGUUUGCGUGGCAGCGAUCGUGGUCCCGGAAGCCUCAGAGAAAAUCGUGGAGAUAUGCGCGGGUGACGUCCAGAAGGGCAGCAUCCAAGAACUAUUCUCGCGAAUUUGAUCACUGCCAAAGUAAAUCCUCGGUCUUUCGUAUUAGCAAAUUUCACAAACACUUGCAUUCAUUUGUGACAUGCUUCGAGGUUGGGCACCACUAAAUUAUAAACGAUGGAUAGAUAAUAUCCUUGAGCAACAAA
Long non-coding RNA from Selaginella moellendorffii, 298 nucleotides. RefSeq lists it as uncharacterized. NCBI's taxonomy places the organism in Eukaryota, Viridiplantae, Streptophyta, Lycopodiopsida, Selaginellales, Selaginellaceae. The transcript has 3 exons. The record is from RefSeq and is a predicted model, not a curated record.